This 239-nucleotide ribosomal RNA is filed under the name uncultured bacterium. RNAcentral describes it as "partial 16S ribosomal RNA". It matches the Rfam family "Bacterial small subunit ribosomal RNA", at positions 118 to 354 of the family's 1533-position model. The record is from RNAcentral.
UGAGCAACCUGCCCUUCUCUUCGGAAUAAGCGUUGGAAACGACGUCUAAUGCCGAAUACGACCUCCUUUCGCAUGAUCGGAGGUGGAAAGCUCCGGCGGAGAAGGAUGAGCUCGCGGCCUAUCAGCUAGUUGGUGUGGGUAAUGGCCCACCAAGGCGACGACGGGUAGCCGGCCUGGAGAGGGUGACCGGCCACACGUGGGACUGAGACACGGCCCAGACUCCGUACGGGAGCAGCAGG